Molecule: long non-coding RNA, 929 nt
Organism: Python bivittatus (Burmese python)
Lineage: Eukaryota; Metazoa; Chordata; Lepidosauria; Squamata; Pythonidae
Source: RefSeq, a predicted model, not a curated record
CGCCGCGGGAGCCGCGUGCCGGGGCGUCUGUCCGCCCGGCGCCCGGUCCACCUCGGCUCCGCGAAGCAGCAGAUGGCGCAAGCAGUCCAGUUCCACCCCCUGGUCCCUGGUCGGCCAAUGGAUUUUCAUAUCCAGUUGCCACAGCGUGUCAUUCCAGGCCACGAUGAAGAGCUACCUAGAAUGCUGCUGCUAGAGAUGAGGGGUGAAGCUGCCUGGGCAUGGCUGCAAGAAAUGCAAGCUCAGGUUUGAGCCUAUCCUGGGGUGCUAAGAGUGGUGGAGCAGAACUGCUUCUCUGCUCUUGUUGUCAGUCAGAAACGCCGUUCAGAGGCACAGAAGAUCAUUGCUUUGUCCCAGCUGGGAAUGUCUGGUGGGACAUUUUGUGGCUAAGGCACUGCUGGUCAAGAGGACCUGGAAGCUGGACCAGACUCGGAAUCUGAGGAGCUGGCAGGAGGUUUUUGAGCCUGCAGAACCUGAGGACAGGUUCCUUGUGAAUCCAACUCCAUCACCUGCUGGCUGGACCUUUGCCCCACCUGCUUAGUCCAGGCUGUCAGGGAAGAGACAAAGAAGUAGGCCUGGCAAUAGUCAACAUCUCAUUGGGGGAGGGACCGUUCCUGUCUGGAUUGAGAAAGUUCCUGGUUUGCCCCCUCCCCUUCUGCAAAGCCUGCUUUCGACCUAGCAGCUCAGACAACCCCUGUUCCAUAUCUAACUUUCCCUUUUGGGGAGAAGUUGAUGGUGCAGCAACUGCUAAGGACUCUGGAAGAUGUGAAUUAUCAGGACUCUUGGCAUCGAGGAUCCAGGCUGGGACACGGGACAGUGGGUCAUUCUUAUGGAUAGCCAAUGGUCCUGACUCUUCACGUGGAUGACCAGGUUGACCACAGACUGCUCUGAGAAAUGCCGCUGCACCUCAGCCAGGUUCCCCGUGUACAGGG